RNAcentral lists this ribosomal RNA (484 nucleotides) under uncultured bacterium. RNAcentral describes it as "partial 16S ribosomal RNA". It matches the Rfam family "Bacterial small subunit ribosomal RNA", at positions 30 to 507 of the family's 1533-position model. The record is from RNAcentral.
AUUGAACGCUGGCGGCAGGCCUAACACAUGCAAGUCGAGCGGAUGAAGGGAGCUUGCUCCUGGAUUCAGCGGCGGACGGGUGAGUAAUGCCUAGGAAUCUGCCUGGUAGUGGGGGAUAACGUCCGGAAACGGGCGCUAAUACCGCAUACGUCCUGAGUGAGAAAGUGGGGGAUCUUCGGACCUCACGCUAUCAGAUGAGCCUAGGUCGGAUUAGCUAGUUGGUGGGGUAAAGGCCUACCAAGGCGACGAUCCGUAACUGGUCUGAGAGGAUGAUCAGUCACACUGGAACUGAGACACGGUACAGACUACUACGGGAGGCAGCAGUGGGGAAUAUUGGACAAUGGGAGAAAGCCUGAUCCAGACAUGCCGAGUGUGUGAAGAAGGUCUUCGGAUUGUAAAGCACUUUAAGUUGGGAGGAAGGGCAGUAAGUUAAUACCUUGCUGUUUUGACGUUACCAACAGAAUAAGCACCGGCUAACUUCGUG